This 453-nucleotide ribosomal RNA is filed under the name uncultured bacterium. RNAcentral describes it as "bacterial SSU rRNA". It matches the Rfam family "Bacterial small subunit ribosomal RNA", at positions 340 to 786 of the family's 1533-position model. The record is from RNAcentral.
UACGGAAGGCAGCAGUGGGGAAUAUUGCACAAUGGGCGCAAGCCUGAUGCAGCCAUGCCGCGUGUAUGAAGAAGGCCUUCGGGUUGUAAAGUACUUUCAGUCGUGAGGAAGGUGUUAAGGUUAAUAACCUUAGCAAUUGACGUUAGCGACAGAAGAAGCACCGGCUAACUCCGUGCCAGCAGCCGCGGUAAUACGGAGGGUGCGAGCGUUAAUCGGAAUUACUGGGCGUAAAGGGCACGCAGGCGGUUAAUUAAGUUGGAUGUGAAAUCCCCGGGCUUAACCUGGGAAUGGCAUUCAAGACUGGUUAGCUAGAGUCUUGUAGAGGGGGCAGAAUUCCAUGUGUAGCGGUGAAAUGCGUAGAGAUGUGGAGGAAUACCGGUGGCGAAGGCGGCCCCUGGACAAAGACUGACGCUCAUGUGCGAAAGCGUGGGGAGCGAAACAGGAUUAGAUACC